This 723-nucleotide unclassified non-coding RNA is filed under the name Hevea brasiliensis (rubber tree). The record is from RNAcentral. Lineage: Eukaryota; Viridiplantae; Streptophyta; Magnoliopsida; Malpighiales; Euphorbiaceae.
CGGGGUAGUAGUAGUACUACUCUAACUCAUGUAACAUCUUUUACUGUAACGAGUGCUUAUAUAUGGACUUGUUUGAUAAAAUCAGAGGACGCGAUAGGAGAAGAGAUGAUCAUAGAUGAUAGUGUAAUGGAAUGUUUCGGAUGUGCAGCAGAUUUUAGAGCGCGAUUCAAUCCACCACUUCCUCAAUCUUAUUUUGGGAAUUGCAUAGUUGGGUAUGUCACAAAAUCAAUAAGGCAUGUUGACUUAGUUGGAAGGGAAGGGUUUAAAAUUGCGGUAGAAUCAAUUGGAGAAGUCAUUCAAGAAAAAAUGAAGGAUGAUGAAUGGGUCCUUAAUGGUGAUUGGUUAAAAGUAUACGACAAUGUAGAUGUGAUUCGAUCAUUUUCAAUUGCUGGAUCGCAAAAACAUGACUUAUAUGCUGCUGAUUUUGGAUGGGGAAGAGCCGCAAAGUUGGAAUUCAUUUCCAUUGACAAUGAUGAUGGCGGUAUUUCGAUGUCUCUUAGUAAAUCUAAAGAUUUUGAUGGAGAUUUAGAGAUUGGUUUGUGUUUGUCUAAAACUCGAAUGAAUGCUUUUGCUUCUAUAUUCACUCACGAGCUUAGCUUUCUAUGCCAAGUCUGAGUACUUUUCGAGGAUUUGGCAAAGACCCCUACCCUUACAGACUCUCAUAUUCAAUUGCUUGAUAUUAGUUUUUUCUAAGCCGAAUAAUUAAUUUUUUUUUAAAUUUUG